RNAcentral lists this long non-coding RNA (376 nucleotides) under Homo sapiens (human). Its description in RNAcentral is "HSALNT0362439". Lineage: Eukaryota; Metazoa; Chordata; Mammalia; Primates; Hominidae. The record is from RNAcentral.
UGCAAAGCCCACUUGGAAUAUUGUUGAGUUGAUCUGAACUGUUCUGGAGAAAGACACAGAGGAAUGAAGUGGUUUCUAUGGCCACAUCACUUGGUGGCAGAACAAACUAAAUUCUCUACCCUGGGCAUGAUGAACUCCAAUACGGAGUAAAUGUGCCUUUGCUGCCUGCCAGCUGCCAGCUUCCACUUCCUCCCCACAAGACAAAUGCAUAUGAAGACGGUAUGCGCUCGUCUGGCCUCAUUUAGGUUUUUGUUAGUCAUCCCUGCUGUCGCUGGCCUGUGACCUUGGAAGGACUAUUUGAGCAGCUUGAAUGGAGUGAUCAGCAGAAGGUUAGUUACACUGGCAGCCUCUAAAGUUAUCCUGCACCAACACUUGC